ACUUGAAAUGCAUGCCCAAGACAGACAGGGAAGAGGUGUGGACCACACUUGAAGGGAUGCUGCAACAAGAGUCACCCAGAAGGUCUUCACAGGCACAUGAUGAUGGGCCACCCAGGAAGAAAACCAGCCUCUGCAAAUGGGCUCAGAUUCAGAAUCAGAAGAUGAAGAGGUCCAACCUGCCAUACAGAGGUACAGAGCAGAGCCCACCAUUGAUUUGGAGCACUGCCCCUUGAGGUGGUGGGCAUCUCAUUCAGGAGCCCAUGAGAAGCUGGCCUCAGUAGCUCACAAAUAUCUAGCCACUCCUGCAAACACUGUUCCCUGUGAACGACUUUUCUCAGUUGCAGGUCACAUUGUGAACAAGAAAAGGUCAGCUUUACUUUCAGAAAAUGUGAACAAGUUAGUUUGCCUCAGCAACUGGCUGAAAGAUGAUGAAGCUCAGUAGAUUUGAAAGGUGAUGUUCAGACAAAAAGACCAGUUUCAGUGCAACAUGUUAUAGUAGUUAGCAACUGGAUUUUUGAGCAACUGGAUUAAAGAAUGGAGGAAAAGGUAAAAGAUUGUUCUUUGGUUUGAUUUAAAAGUUGAAAAUGUUUUCUUCCACAUAAAACGCAACAGAUGACUCAAAUUGUGCAAAAAUGUGGUAGACCACUGUUAUGAUUUGACUACAUUUAUUGCUUUCUGUUCUGAAUACUGUAAAUUGUACACCCUGGUUAAGAGGAAUGCCAAAAAGGAAGCAAUGGGACAUUACAAAGACAAAUAUUAUGGUGUGUAGUAUGUUUCAGCUUGAUUUAAACCACCAUUAUUUGGCUGUGUUAAUAAACAGACAUAAUAUGAAAAUUAUGUAUCUGUGUCCUGUUAUCUAUCUUUUGGUAUGCAUUUCAGAAAGAAAAAAUGGUUAGGAUUCAGGUGUAAUUGCAAAUAGUGAUUAAUCCUGAUUAAUCCACUGAAAAUUCUGAUUAAUUGAUUAAACAUUUUAAUUAUUUGACAGCCCUAAUAUAAAUAUAAAAAAAUAAACAAAUAAAUGAACAUUGCCACCAUACAUAAUCAUUUUAUAUUUAAAUAAAACUAUAUAUCAGUGAGCUUCCUCCCACAGUCCAAAGACAUGCUCUGGGGAUCAGGUUGACUGGUAACUCUAAAUUGCCCGUAGGUGUGUGAAUGUGAAUGGUUGUAUGUCUCUAUGUAGCCCUGUGAUUGGCUGGCAACCAGGCCCGGGUGUACUCUGUCUCUCGCCCGAAGUUGGCUGGGAUAUUGUCCACCCACUCAGGGGUUUUGAAUUAAUGUAGAUGACUCCAGACUCCAGACAUCCCGCGACCCUGUGUGCAGGAUAAGCGGUUUGCAAAUGGAUGGAUGGAUCUGUGAGGUGUUAUUAAAGUAAUGUACAUAGAAACGACACUACUGUGCAGCAGGUUGUUAAUUUUCAUAUGAAUAUUCUCAACCUUCUGACAAUGAUAACAUGAACCUCUGAAAGUGUAUGUGGGUGACAUUAGGAUCUGAAAACAUAACAUGUGAGAGGCAAAUCAAUUCAAAUGACUUACCAUAUACUCCAGAACAAGCUGUCCCUCGUCCUCCCCCAGGUAGAUGCAAAGAGCCUUUAGGACAGCUGUCCUUUUAGGAUUGACAUAAUUUGUCUCCUGUGUUAAAGAAUUACAAUUAUUAAAUAAUAAGAAAUACAUAAAUAAGUACAGCAAUUUAAAUAAAUUGAACAAUAUUUAUAUUACAUUACAUGACAUGUCAUUUAGCUGACGCUUUUAUCCAAAGCAACUUACAAUAAGUGCAUUCAACCAUAAAAUGUAAUAACCUAAAUGUAUAAUAUAACUUCAUUUUUUCAUCAUCAAAAAUAUACAUGACAUUUUACAUGUCAUAAAGACAAUUGGUAUACAUAUUUACUUCUUGCAAGAUCUCCAGAUGUUUAGCUAGUUUCUGGCCAGCAACUCCUCCCUUCGUCUGGAAGAUAUACGUCAAUUGGGCUAAAUGGCUGUCCAACUGUGCCAUGAAGGUAGAUUCCAGUGGGAUGGUGGUAACGCGUUGGAACUUAGCAUGUAUCUUAUCAAAAAACAAAAAGAUAAAAUACAAAGUAUUGGUGCAAUAUUUUGUUGCUAAUAAAUUCUAGUUUUGAACUCCUCGUUAACAAAGACUGUCUUUGAUAGCAUGUGUACUGGUUGGUCCACAGUGUGUUCUAGCCAGACACAUUCCUAUUAAUCGUGGGUAAUUGCAAGAGUAGGCUUUCCUUCAGACAAUCAAAGAGCUGACAAGCUGGUGAAAAAAGUGGAAUAUGCAGGAACUUAAGAGCCGGACAUUUUUCUUGGUAGUGACCAAAAACAGAGCUAUAAGAAUAAUCAAUCACUAGGUGGGAUAUAUUUUUCUUUCAAAUGUAUUGUCAAUAUUUAGGUUACAGCAGUUACACACUAAGAUUGUACAAAGACAAGAGGCGCAUUGGGAAAAUAGGUAGCA
Long non-coding RNA from Gasterosteus aculeatus aculeatus (three-spined stickleback), 2448 nucleotides. NCBI's taxonomy places the organism in Eukaryota, Metazoa, Chordata, Actinopteri, Perciformes, Gasterosteidae. The record is from Ensembl.